UACGAAGGGGACUAGCGUUGUUCGGAUUUACUGGGCGUAAAGCGCGCGUAGGCGGAUCGCUAAGUCAGGGGUGAAAUCCCAGGGCUCAACCCUGGAACUGCCUUUGAUACUGACGAUCUGGAGAUCGGGAGAGGUUGGUGGAAUUCCGAGUGUAGAGGUGAAAUUCGUAGAUAUUCGGAGGAACACCAGAGGCGAAGGCGGCCAACUGGCCCGAUACUGACGCUGAGGCGCGAAAGCGUGGGGAGCAAACAGG
This 253-nucleotide ribosomal RNA is filed under the name uncultured bacterium. RNAcentral's name for it is "partial 16S ribosomal RNA". It matches the Rfam family "Bacterial small subunit ribosomal RNA", at positions 524 to 776 of the family's 1533-position model. The record is from RNAcentral.